RNAcentral lists this ribosomal RNA (460 nucleotides) under uncultured bacterium. RNAcentral's name for it is "partial 16S ribosomal RNA". It matches the Rfam family "Bacterial small subunit ribosomal RNA", at positions 338 to 795 of the family's 1533-position model. The record is from RNAcentral.
CCUACGGGAGGCAGCAGUGAGGAAUAUUGGUCAAUGGGCGCGAGCCUGAACCAGCCAAGUAGCGUGAAGGAUGACUGCCCUACGGGUUGUAAACCUCUUUUAUAAAGGAGUAAAGUGAGGCACGUGUGCCUCUUUGUAUGUACUUUAUGAAUAAGGAUCGGCUAACUCCGUGCCAGCAGCCGCGGUAAUACGGAGGAUCCGAGCGUUAUCCGGAUUUAUUGGGUUUAAAGGGAGCGUAGAUGGGUUGUUAAGUCAGUUGUGAAAGUUUGCGGCUCAACCGUAAAAGUGCAAUUGAUACUGGCAGUCUAGAGUACACUUGAGGUAGGCGGAAUGCGUGGUGUAGCGGUGAAAUGCUUAGAUAUCACGAAGAACUCCGAUUGCGAAGGCAGCUUACUAAACUGCCACUGACAUUGAUGCUCGAAAGUGUGGGUAUCAAACAGGAUUAGAUACCCCUGUAGUC